Molecule: ribosomal RNA, 513 nt
Filed under: uncultured bacterium
Lineage: Bacteria
Description: partial 16S ribosomal RNA
Rfam family: Bacterial small subunit ribosomal RNA
Source: RNAcentral
AUUGAACGCUGGCGGCAUGCCUAACACAUGCAAGUCGAACGGCAGCACAGUAGAGACUUCGGUCUUUAUGGGUGGCGAGUGGCGGACGGGUGAGUAAUGCGUAGGAAUCUGUCCUGGAGAGAGGGAUAACCCGAGGAAACUCGGGCUAAUACCGCAUGAUAUUGAGAGAUUAAAAGCAGGGGACCUUUUUGGGCCUUGCGCUCUGGGUUGAGCCUACGUCGGAUUAGCUAGUUGGUGGGGUAAGAGCCUACCAAGGCGACGAUCCGUAGCUGGUCUGAGAGGAUGACCAGCCACACUGGGACUGAGACACGGCCCAGACUCCUACGGGAGGCAGCAGUGGGGAAUCUUGGACAAUGGGGGAAACCCUGAUCCAGCGAUGCCGCGUGUGUGAAGAAGGCCUUCGGGUUGUAAAGCACUUUAGUUGGGGAAGAAAAGUAACUCGUGAAUAACGGAUUACUGUGACGGUACCCAAAGAAUAAGCACCGGCUAACUCUGUGCCAGCCGCCGCAGUAA